ACAUCCCCUGACCGCGUUAUGAAAGUACGUUUUCACCCUCGGGUGACAGGGAGACAGGUGGUGCAUGGUUGUCGUCAGCUCGUGUCGUGAGAUGUUGGGUUAAGUCCCGCAACGAGCGCAACCCCUAUCUCUAGUUGCCAGCGAUUCGGUCGGGGACUCUAGAGAUACUGCCCCGGUUAACGGGGAGGAAGGUGGGGAUGACGUCAAGUCCUCAUGGCCCUUAUGCCCAGGGCUACACACGUGCUACAAUGGGCGGUACAAAGGGUAGCGAUGCCGCGAGGUGAAGCCAAUCCCAAAAAGCCGUCCACAGUUCGGAUUGGAGUCUGCAACUCGACUCCAUGAAGCCGGAAUCGCUAGUAAUCGUGGAUCAGCAUGCCACGGUGAAUACGUUCCCGGGCCUU
Molecule: ribosomal RNA, 401 nt
Filed under: uncultured Desulfobacterium sp.
Lineage: Bacteria; Pseudomonadati; Thermodesulfobacteriota; Desulfobacteria; Desulfobacterales; Desulfobacteriaceae
Description: bacterial SSU rRNA
Rfam family: Bacterial small subunit ribosomal RNA
Source: RNAcentral